RNAcentral lists this long non-coding RNA (1122 nucleotides) under Mastacembelus armatus (zig-zag eel). RNAcentral's name for it is "lncRNA (ENSMAMG00000025510.1)". The record is from RNAcentral. Lineage: Eukaryota; Metazoa; Chordata; Actinopteri; Synbranchiformes; Mastacembelidae.
GUUUUUGUGCAUUGUCAGGUGAUGGGUGUGGUUGGACCGUCCAGUGUGGCAGACGGCUUAAAUCCUAAAUAAUAUGUUCCAUACGCCCACUAUCAGGGCUAACUUCUGUUUCCUCCUUUUCCACCAUCCUAGGCCUUAAAGGAUGAUUUCCCUCUCAGUCAUGUGAUCUCACCUUUCACCAAUCAGGAGAGGCGUGAGGGGAUGCUGCUCAACCUGCUCAUUCCCUUUGUAUUGACAGUGGGGUCUGGAAGCAAAGGAACAGGAGAAGAGAGAGCAGUGGGGCCUCCGCAGCAGCCUCUCCCCUCCACCCUCCAUCUCCCGGCCCUCCACCCCAACACCCCUAUCUAGGACGUGCUCCCUGCUGCCUCUUUCCCGAACCUGCUCCCCUGUCCCUUUAUCCUGCACCUCCACCCCUCUCCCUCCACCGCUCCCGGUGCUGGGUACUACGCCCGCCCCGGGCCCUCCGCCACCACCAGCGCUGCCGUCGACCCCGCUUCUUCCUCCGCCUCCUCCGGGGCCAUUCAGGAUCAGAGAAAUCCAUGGGGAUGAGGACACAGCGGCACUCCUUCCACGCAGUGACGCCCUGCUGCGGUUCAGCGAGGACGACGGCACAGAGAAUUCCCUCCUCACCCCCCUGUUGACCUGGACCUGGAUGAGUCCCAUGUUUGAUGAGGCGACAGGUAGAUUGAUUCUCUAUCUAUUCUAUUCUCAGGCAAUGACCUGAAUAUAACAUAGUUUAUUUUUCUGUUAUGUUAUGUCAUCAGUGGUGUUAAUGAUGACAUCAAUAAAGAUCAGAAGUUAAACAUAUGUAUAGUGAGAGUAGAGUAUAUACAUCUAUGAAGAAGAUGCAAAGUUUAUUAUAUGAUAUACAUGUAGUGUAUAUUGUAUACAUUAUAUACAACAGUCUGGAGAUUAGUCAUCCAAAGAAUGGAUUUUUAUAAGAAAAUAUAAGAUUUAAUUAUCGAUAAUCAAAUCAAUCAGUAUUAAUUAAAGUGGCUCAUUAUUAAAGUUUAUUGUACUUGAAUUUAAGUACUAUAUUAAAGUUUGUAUUAGUGAUGUUGUCUUAUUCCUUAUAACUCAUUUGACCGGUGAAGCAAUGUGUCAUCAUUAGCUGUGUUUAAC